UUGAUCCUGGCUCAGGAUGAACGCUAGCGGCAGGCUUAAUACAAGCAAGUCGAGGGGCAGCAGUCUUGUAGCAAUACAGAAGCUGGCGACCGGCAAACGGGUGCGGAACACGUACGCAACCUUCCUCUAACUGGAAGAUAGCCCACCGAAAGGUGGAUUAAUAUUCCAUAGUAUAUUGAAAAGGCAUCUUUUUGAUAUUAAAGCUCCGGCGGUUAGAGAUGGGCGUGCGUCUGAUUAGGUAGUUGGCGGGGUAACGGCCCACCAAGCCUACGAUCAGUAGCUGAUGUGAGAGCAUGAUCAGCCACACGGGCACUGAGACACGGGCCCGACUCCUACGGGAGGCAGCAGUAAGGAAUAUUGGUCAAUGGACGCAAGUCUGAACCAGCCAUGCCGCGUGGAGGAUGAAGGCCCUCUGGGUUGUAAACUUCUUUUCUUUGGGACGAAACCCCUGUUUCUACGGGGACUGACGGUACCAGAGGAAUAAGCACCGGCUAACUCCGUGCCAGCAGCCGCGGUAAUACGGAGGGUGCAAGCGUUAUCCGGAUUCACUGGGUUUAAAGGGAGCGUAGGUGGGCUUUUAAGUCAGUGGUGAAAUCUUUGGGCUUAACCCGAAAACUGCCAUUGAUACUAUUAGUCUUGAAUUCUCUGGAGGUAAGCGGAAUAUGUCAUGUAGCGGUGAAAUGCUUAGAUAUGACAUAGAACAC
RNAcentral lists this ribosomal RNA (704 nucleotides) under uncultured bacterium. RNAcentral's name for it is "bacterial SSU rRNA". It matches the Rfam family "Bacterial small subunit ribosomal RNA", at positions 13 to 709 of the family's 1533-position model. The record is from RNAcentral.